GACGAACGCUGGCGGCGUGCUUAACACAUGCAAGUCGAACGGUAAGGCCCUUCGGGGUACACGAGUGGCGAACGGGUGAGUAACACGUGGGUGAUCUGCCCUGCACUUCGGGAUAAGCCUGGGAAACUGGGUCUAAUACCGGAUAGGACCCUGGGAUGCAUGUCCUGGGGGGGAAGGUUUUUGCGGUGUGGGAUGGGCCCGCGGCCUAUCAGCUUGUUGGUGGGGUGAUGGCCUACCAAGGCGACGACGGGUAGCCGGCCUGAGAGGGUGACCGGCCACACUGGGACUGAGAUACGGCCCAGACUCCUACGGGAGGCAGCAGUGGGGAAUAUUGCACAAUGGGCGCAAGCCUGAUGCAGCGACGCCGCGUGAGGGAUGACGGCCUUCGGGUUGUAAACCUCUUUCAGCACCGACGAAGCGCAAGUGACGGUAGGUGCAGAAGAAGGACCGGCCAACUACGUGCCAGCAGCCGCCGUAA
RNAcentral lists this ribosomal RNA (478 nucleotides) under uncultured bacterium. Its description in RNAcentral is "partial 16S ribosomal RNA". It matches the Rfam family "Bacterial small subunit ribosomal RNA", at positions 28 to 523 of the family's 1533-position model. The record is from RNAcentral.